GAUUCCGUAGUGUAGCGGUUAUCACGUUCGCCUAACACGCGAAAGGUCCCCGGUUCGAGCCCGGGCGGAAUCA
Molecule: transfer RNA, 73 nt
Filed under: Patiria miniata (bat star)
Lineage: Eukaryota; Metazoa; Echinodermata; Asteroidea; Valvatida; Asterinidae
Description: tRNA-Val
Source: RNAcentral